This 263-nucleotide ribosomal RNA is filed under the name uncultured bacterium. RNAcentral's name for it is "partial 16S ribosomal RNA". It matches the Rfam family "Bacterial small subunit ribosomal RNA", at positions 793 to 1055 of the family's 1533-position model. The record is from RNAcentral.
GUCCACGCCGUAAACUAUGAGAGCUAGCCGUUGGACAGCUUGCUGUUCAGUGGCGCAGCUAACGCAUUAAGCUCUCCGCCUGGGGAGUACGGUCGCAAGAUUAAAACUCAAAGGAAUUGACGGGGCCCGCACAAGCGGUGGAGCAUGUGGUUUAAUUCGAAGCAACGCGCAGAACCUUACCUACCCUUGACAUGUCGUGGACCGGUCACAGAGAUGUGACCUUCUCUUCGGAGCCGCGAACACAGGUGCUGCAUGGCUGUCGU